GUGGAUGUCGAGAAGUGGACUUUACACCGAAGAAAAGUCACUUUAUAGCCACAUUUUAUUAUAUAUUUUCUUUAAUUACAUUUUAUGUUCGACAUCGCUGUUAUACAGUGGAUGCAUUACACUGGGGAAGUAAUAUCAUAAAGCCUUGGCGGAUUUUUUGCGCAAAUAAAGAGUUUUCUGAACACAUAAUAGCCAGCCAGUCUCUCUCCCAUCAGCCUGAUACGGGCCUGCACCAAACAUUCACCCACAAUAACUACGGGGGGACUUCCCACCGAGAGACACCGAGCAGCCGAGGAUAUCACCGGGAGCUGCAGAGAGCACAGACCCGGAGAAGAGGAGGGAUGGAGGGGGAAGAAGGCUCACAUAGGCCGCUUCUGCUCCUGGAGACUUUCACUUGCAAGGAGAAGUGAGAGAAGAAAAGUAUGAAGAUUUCGAUCAGAGGAAGCGGCUGCAUGGAUCAUAACCCCGGAUUUGUUUUCACAACCAAACUGCAGAGGAAAAGUUUUGCUGUGUGGAGGAACUGCAACACACUCAGGAGUUCGCCCAACAAACAAACAGAUGCAAUUAAACACACUCGCCUUCAGAUCAUCAAUGAGGAGAGCAAAGUCAAGACUGGUGGAGGAGAAAAAACCCACAAGGACGAAUGUAAGACGGGAGAAGACUCUGCUGCCUCAAGGUUAAACUGGAACUGUGUUAAGACUUGAGAGAAUCUGGAUAGUUCUUCUGCAAACACAAAUCACAAGCUGUUUUCCUAUUAAACAUCCUCACUUUAAACCUCCUAAUUGAUGUUAUAUUUUGAUGUCUUUCCUAAACAUAUUCUUCUGUUUCUGCUCUGCCUCCACACUGUCUUGGAAGUAAUUAAAAGAUAAAUUACAAAUAAAGACUAUAUCAUUGUGAAACCAGCAUCCUGCUCUCUUGCUGUCUCCCCCUGCACCUUCAGUAGCCUUCUCCUCUGUGUGCUGAGGUGUCUGCAUGGCGUGGUAAAACCUGCCCUGCAGACCGGACCUCUCAAGUCUUCAAAGGAGUAGGAACUCAAUGUGGGGGAUUUGUUCAGGCUUAUUUGGUAACCUAGGAUUUGAAUUGGAUUCUGGGAGGCAUUCAUAACACAUUUGAAAAUGUUACAUUGUGUGAUUUUGUGUGUAAUCCCCAUAAUAAAUUUUAGAAAUGGUCACAGCACUUGCACAACUGUGACUAUUCAUGAUUUAUCAAAUGGUUUUCUUGUCUUGCCUCUCGGGGGUGAGUGAGGUGUGUGUUACCGGCAGGGAACGGGACGAUCUCGACCGUUGGUGAGGAGACGAUUCCUACGUUUUUUAACGUUUUAACCCCUUCUCUCAACA
Molecule: long non-coding RNA, 1337 nt
Organism: Centropristis striata (black sea bass)
Lineage: Eukaryota; Metazoa; Chordata; Actinopteri; Perciformes; Serranidae
Exons: 4
Source: RefSeq, a predicted model, not a curated record